AGUGAACGCUGGCGGUAGGCCUAACACAUGCAAGUCGAACGGCAGCACAGUAAGAGCUUGCUCUUACGGGUGGCGAGUGGCGGACGGGUGAGGAAUACAUCGGAAUCUACUUUUUCGUGGGGGUUAACGUAGGGAAACUUACGCUAAUACCGCAUACGACCUACGGGUGAAAGCAGGGGAUCUUCGGACCUUGCGCGAUUGAAUGAGCCGAUGUCGGAUUAGCUAGUUGGCGGGGUAAAGGCCCACCAAGGCGACGAUCCGUAGCUGGUCUGAGAGGAUGAUCAGCCACACUGGAACUGAGACACGGUCCAGACUCCUACGGGAGGCAGCAGUGGGGAAUAUUGGACAAUGGGCGCAAGCCUGAUCCAGCCAUACCGCGUGGGUGAAGAAGGCCUUCGGGUUGUAAAGCCCUUUUGUUGGGAAAGAAAAGCAGCAGGUUAAUACCCCGCUGUUCUGACGGUACCCAAAGAAUAAGCACCGGCUAACUUC
RNAcentral lists this ribosomal RNA (489 nucleotides) under uncultured bacterium. RNAcentral describes it as "partial 16S ribosomal RNA". It matches the Rfam family "Bacterial small subunit ribosomal RNA", at positions 29 to 504 of the family's 1533-position model. The record is from RNAcentral.